Molecule: ribosomal RNA, 479 nt
Filed under: uncultured bacterium
Lineage: Bacteria
Description: partial 16S ribosomal RNA
Rfam family: Bacterial small subunit ribosomal RNA
Source: RNAcentral
GACGAACGCUGGCGGCGUGCUUAACACAUGCAAGUCGAGCGAUGAAGUUUCCUCGGAAAUGGAUUAGCGGCGAACGGGUGAGUAACACGUGAGGAAUCUGCCCUUCACUUUGGAAUAACUCCGGGAAACCGGAGCUAAUACCGGAUACGAACUCUGGCGGCAUCGCCGGGGUUGGAACGUUUUUCGGUGAAGGAUGACCUCGCGGCCUAUCAGCUGGUUGGUGAGGUAAUGGCUCACCAAGGCGACGACGGGUAGCCGGCCUGAGAGGGCGACCGGCCACACUGGGACUGAGACACGGCCCAGACCCCUACGGGAGGCAGCAGUGGGGAAUAUUGGGCAAUGGGCGAAAGCCUGACCCAGCGACGCCGCGUGCGGGAUGAAGGCCUUCGGGUUGUAAACCGCUUUCAGCAGGGAAGAAGCGAAAGUGACGGUACCUGAAGAAGAAGCACCGGCUAACUAUGUGCCAGCCGCCGCCGUAA